This 489-nucleotide ribosomal RNA is filed under the name Streptococcus gordonii. Its description in RNAcentral is "bacterial SSU rRNA". It matches the Rfam family "Bacterial small subunit ribosomal RNA", at positions 28 to 491 of the family's 1533-position model. The record is from RNAcentral. Lineage: Bacteria; Bacillati; Bacillota; Bacilli; Lactobacillales; Streptococcaceae.
GACGAACGCUGGCGGCGUGCCUAAUACAUGCAAGUAGAACGCACAGUUUAUACCGUAGCUUGCUACACCAUAGACUGUGAGUUGCGAACGGGUGAGUAACGCGUAGGUAACCUGCCUGGUAGCGGGGGAUAACUAUUGGAAACGAUAGCUAAUACCGCAUAAUAUUAAUUAUUGCAUGAUAAUUAAUUGAAAGGUGCAAUUGCACCACUACCAGAUGGACCUGCGUUGUAUUAGCUAGUGGGUGAGGUAACGGCUCACCUAGGCGACGAUACAUAGCCGACCUGAGAGGGUGAUCGGCCACACUGGGACUGAGACACGGCCCAGACUCCUACGGGAGGCAGCAGUAGGGAAUCUUCGGCAAUGGACGAAAGUCUGACCGAGCAACGCCGCGUGAGUGAAGAAGGUUUUCGGAUCGUAAAGCUCUGUUGUAAGAGAAGAACGGGUGUGAGAGUGGAAAGUUCACACUGUGACGGUAUCUUACCAGAAAGG